RNAcentral lists this ribosomal RNA (488 nucleotides) under uncultured Acidobacteriota bacterium. RNAcentral describes it as "bacterial SSU rRNA". It matches the Rfam family "Bacterial small subunit ribosomal RNA", at positions 78 to 545 of the family's 1533-position model. The record is from RNAcentral. Lineage: Bacteria; Pseudomonadati; Acidobacteriota.
CGCAAGGGAUUAGUAGAGUGGCAAACGGGUGAGUAACACGUGGGUGACCUGCCUUCGAGUGGGGGAUAACGUCCCGAAAGGGACGCUAAUACCGCAUAACAUCCUGCUUUUUAAGAGGUGGAGAUCAAAGCCGGGGAUCGCAAGACCUGGCGCUUGAAGAGGGGCCCGCGUCCGAUUAGCUAGUUGGUGGGGUAAUGGCCCACAAAGGCUACGAUCGGUAUCCGGCCUGAGAGGGCGGACGGACACACUGGGACUGAGACACGGCCCAGACUCCUACGGGAGGCAACAGUGGGGAAUUGUUCGCAAUGGGCGCAAGCCUGACNACGCAACGCCGCGUGGAGGAUGAAGACCUUCGGGUCGUAAACUCCUUUCGAUCGAGACGAAUAGCCUGCGGGUUAACAGCCGGCGGGAAUGACGGUACCGAGAGAAGAAGCCCCGGUUAACUCCGUGCCAGCAGCCGCGGUAAUACGGGGGGGGCAAGCGUUGUU